CUGAAUUUUAUGCACAGUUUUUGAAAAUUAAGUGCAAAACAAGUUUUUCAGAUAACCAAAAGUUUAGAAAACAGUUUAGUAGCAAGAAAACAAAUAGCCUGACUUAAAAUCAACAAAGACUCUAACUAGACACUUCUCAAGAAGGCAUACAGGUUUGUAGAAAAACACUGAGUAUCACUGGUUACCAGGGAAACGCUAAUUCAGGCCAUAAUGAAAUGCGGCCUGACAUUAAUUAGGAUGAUGAUUACAAGACUGAAGUGCUGGGCAUGAUGUUGGGGAAGGGAAUGUGUGCAUGAUCUCAUUUGAGGAGCAGAGACAGAACGGGAAGACCAGGAGCUGGGCACCAAGAGACACAGUUUCCCUUAGACAAGAGGGUAGAUCAUUAAGAUCUGUUACACAGUCCAGGGCCAUAGUUAAUACAAUGUGGUUUUUUAUUAGUAAGAUAAAGUGUUUUAAAUGUCUUCACUGAAAACUUGAGAGAACAAAAAGUUGAUUGGCUUUGUUUAAUUAUUCUACAGUGUACUGUGUGUCCAAAGGUUCCCUGGCACCCCUAAAAUACACACAACUAUUAUUAAUCAAAUGUAAUACUUCUUUUGGUCUUGCUUUCUUGUGGCAGGGUCAUGCUUGGUAGCUCAAGUUGACCUCUAACUCACUAUGAAGUUCUGAGGUUCCAGGUGGGUACCACUACACUGUUGUUUGGUUAUAAAGGUUACCUCCCUCCAAGUGCCAGUCCCCAGCUGGUGGAACUAUAGGGAGAGCCUUUCUAGAAAUUUGGGGGGGGGUGGAGAUAUGGGGACUGGUGGCAGGUCCUGUGGAGUUGCCUCUGGCCCUUCCUGGCCCUUUUCUUCUUGUCUGCCAAGAAGUUAGAACAGCCUCUCUAGCAAAUGUUCCUGCCAUAAUGUCCUUCCCGCCCAAAGCCUGAUGCCAAGCAAUGUAGACAGAUACCUCUGAGACAGGGAGCCAUAAUAUCUCUUCCCUUAUUUAAGUUGCUUAUGUAGUAGCUCUUUCUGUCACAGCAACAAGAAAGCUAGUACACUGACUUCAAGUUUUUGGUUGAUUAUUCUGUGUUUGUUUGGGGGGAUUUGGGGGGAUUAUUUUUAAAGAUAGGCUCUCAUGUAAUUCAGUCUGGCUUUGAACUUGUUAUAUAGCCCUGACUGGCCUUGAACUUCUGAUCCCUCUACCUCUGUCUUUUCCAAGGGCUGGAAUUAUAAUCAUGCUCCCCCACAAUUAGAAUACUAUUUUGUAGUUUAAAUAAAUGUAUUUUUCAGAUAAAAUUCAGAGAGUUUUACCACUAACCACCCUUCAUUAAAUAAGCAUGUAAAGAAGCUACUUCAAGAAGGAGCAUGAUGAUGAAGGGAAGCCCAGAUAUGAGUGAGCAGAGAAUUGACUUAUAAGAAGAGAAAUCUGGGACUGGAGAGAUGGCUUAGCGGUUAAGAGCACUGGCUGCUCUUCCAGAGGAUUCAGGUUCAAUUCCCAGCAACCAUUUGGUGGUUCACAACCAUCUGUAAUGAGAUCCUGUUCUCUCCUGGCCUGCAGGCAGACAUACAGGCAGGAUAACUGUACAUAAUAAAUAAAUAAGUAAAACUUAAAAAAAAAAAAGAAGAGAAAUCUAAGUCAUCUUAUAAAAACAAAGACAUCUGCCAUGUGUCUUCUAGAGAGCUGGAGACCUGGGCAUCAGUACGUGUCAGGUAGAAGGGAGCUCUGGAGUGGGGGGAUCCAAGACCCUGCAUUGUUAAGAAGCAGCUAAGUGAGCGAUGAACUUUAGAGUCCUUUAGAUGCUUAGGAUGCAGAGGAAGGUUUCCAGGGCAACCACAGGCAGCUCUCAAUGAAGGGACCACACGUGGGGCAGGCAACACGUGCAAAGGCUGGAAGUGGAAAGACACCAAGGAUGCAACGCUGGAAGGAAGGCAGGAUGAGGUGGGGUGGGGUGGGCAGACAGAGAGCCUGGGAAUCUACAGGGAGGUGAGGUGGGAGACCAGAUACCAGAACCUUCAUGGUUUUCGGUCCACAGUAUAGGGGGCAUGGAUUGUGCCCUAAGAACGGCAGUGUGUUACCUUAGUCUGUAAGUCAGAAAAUUCCUGUUGGAGAGUAUGUAACUAAUUUUAUGUGACAUCUGGCUGGCCCAUGGUACUCAAAUGGUGAGUCAAACAUUAGUCUAGGUGUGUCUGUGAGGAUGUUUUUGGAUGAGAUUGACAUUUAGCCAGCAUUUUUCUUUUCUCUUCUUUCAUUUAUUCCUUAGAGUCUCACUAUGCAGCCCAGGCUAGUCUCAAGUCACUAUAUAGCCUAGAUGAGUGCCUCCUGACCCAGACAGAUUAACAUUUAUUACAUUUAUUUAUUUAUUUAGGGGUGUGCCAUGGCUGUGGGUGCAUUGUGUAACAUUAUUACAGGAGAGACAUAAACAAAUAUCUACUCACCCCAGAUAGGGAACCACAACAGACCAAAGGAAAGGUACCACCAAAGUCCAACCUGUUGAACAAAUGAGUUUUACUCACUUCAGGGUUCCUUAGAGAAAUAUGGGCAUCCCUCACAGGACAGAAAUGACUCAAAGGCAGUUGGAUCGCCAAAAGCCCAUCCCAACAUAGACGAUAAGCUCAGGAAAGCUGGGAACCGAGAGCACACUGCACAGCCUGCAUGCAGAUCCACAGGUUGGAGAAUGUCUCUUCCAGGCAGCUCAGCUGCUCUCUGUCUCUUUCAGGUGGCUUGGUUGGUCUGAGAGUGGGUCUCCGUAGUCCUCACUGCUUAUACACAUUUGCUAGGUAAGGGUCCUAGUGAGUUUAGUUGGUUUCAGGGACUUACUGAAGCUUUUGUGUUGUUUAUUUCCUGAAUUUAAAGAACUUCCCUACAGGAUAGACGGUUUCCCCUACCUUCACAGCAUCCUGAGUCCUGUGUCUUAACCAGCUUUAAUCCAUGAUGGAGGUUUAUCUAGGAGAAAAUUGCUACUCAGCAGGGCAGGGGUCAGAGGUCAAGGGUAGCAUAUAGGAGUCAAUUCUCCCCUUCCGUCAUGUGGGGCUUAGAGAUUGAAUUAAGGUUUAGCAGCAAGAACCUUUACUCACGGGCCCAUCUGGCUAGAGCACAGAUUAACAUUUAAAUGAGUAAGUCUUGAUUAAGUAAACUGUACUCCAUAGUGUGGGUGGGUCACUUCUAAUCACCUGAAGGCCUGAAUAGAAGGGAAACUGGAGGGUGCCUGAGCAAGAGGGAAUCCUGCCAGCCCUAGCUUUGGGCAUGGUUGCCUGUAGGCUCUUGCCUGUUGGCCUACCUGCAGGGGUUAGAACUGUCAAUCCCCACUAUCAUGGGCACCCCUCCUUAAAAUAACCCUAGAUAAUUACACAUCCAUGUGAUCUCUGGAGACCCCUGAGUAGUGUAGGACACUGGUGAUGGAUAGUGAUCAGAGCUCUCUGUAGUCCAUUCUGGCCUUGCCUGGUCGCAAAAAGCAACUGGCGGGGAUGGGAUUGCUAAGGGCUGUUUUAAGGUAUGGGAGUACCCAGUAAGUGCCCUCACCACCUUCCAUCAACUGGUCCUCACUCAGGACCUCUACGCCAGCACGAUGCUGCCCUGUGACAGCAAUAGAAGACGGAUGUCAUGUCUGCGGGGCUCCUGUGCUGGAAAAAAAAGGCAGACUGGGGUAGCCAGGCCAACAGGAAGGUAGCCCUGGGCGGUGGCGUGCAUGGUAGAGGACACCUAGGAUGCAGAUUUCCCUGAGAGGAAACAAAGGGAUGGGGAGAAUCAGAGGGCAGCUCAGGCUGUGCACUGUAGAAAGCCACAGGGGCCAUAGGAUAAGUGGAGGCAGGGCAUAGCGUCCAGAUCUGGCCAUCUUUAACCAUAUUUGGCUCAUCCAUUCUUAUUCCAUGCUACCCCUCAUGAGGCAGGGGACAGGACAGUAUUUCUGGGUGUCCUAGCAUAAAGCUGGUUUUUGCCCCCUUUUUCAGUUGACUCUGGCGUUCCAUACAGGCAUGGUGUGGCUGUGAGGGGUCCAUGAUGACAUGGGAGACUUUCUGGAGCACAGCCAGCCCAUUCCCAAGAUGAAAACCUCUGACAAACUUCUGUUCAGAGAUGUAGGAGGUCCCUGUGGCCCCAAAUCUUGUAUGAAGGAAAAGUGGUGAAAUGAGCUUUUGGGGUAGCUCCCCCAGACACCACCCUCAGGCAUCCUCGGCCUGUGAUCUCGCUCCCCCACUCCCUCAGCCCAAGCUAAAUGAACUUGCUUUUCACAAAGACAGCAGCUGCAAGAGUGAACCACAAAGACUGCGGCUCCUGUCUUGGUUCCCCUCAGCACUUUCAUGGUUCCAAUCCUGGUAUAGCCACCUGCCACACCGUGAAGUGGCUCAGGUGACAAGGGUUGAGCCUGCCAAUACCCCACGAAUGAGUCUGGGAGUGGACUCCACCCAGUCAGCCUUUCAGAUGGGCCAGAAGCCCCAGCUUCACGUGAGAUCACAGUCCAGAGCCCCCAGCAAAGCACCUGAAUUCCUGCCGGAGGCACCAAGAGAAAAAUGAAUGUGCUGUUUUAAGCCCCUACGUUUGAAAGCAAUUCUGCCUGCCACACUGAAAAACACAGGUCAUCUCGUCCUGACGGUGUCACACAAGCUGGGCCUUCAGAGAACAGCAUUCGGAGGAGGCGGCUGCCUUUUUCUAUGUAUCCUUACUGUGAGGCUCCUGCCAACGUGACACACAGCCGGGCGUUUUGAUCUUGUUUUCCAUUUCUAAGGGUUUUGUUACUGCGGCUGUUUUGAGAGGUAGAUGUGUGUGAGAGAGAGACAGAGAGACAGAGAGAGACCUGGUCCAUGGACAGGCACAGAAAUCCUUUACAACUUUAAACUCCUGAUUCCCUGUCGUCACCUCCUGAGAACCGGAUUACAGGUGUGCACCACUCUUGCAUCUGCCAAGCUCAAGGGAUAUUUUUUUUUCACCUACCAUUUUUACUGUGUGUGUAAGAAUGUCCACAUUAUUACAAAGCCAGAAGUCCAGGGCAAGGUGCACUGACAGAUGCAUCAUCCCUGUGCCUCCACCCCUGUUGCACUGUCCUUGUCUCCUCUUCUGGGGUCCACCCUUCACCUGGGUUAUGUGUCUUAUUUCUUUUUUGCCAACACUAGAAACAGUUGCUUGUGUUGGCAUUCCCCUCCUUAGACCAAGUGUAGCCAUCAGCAGCACACCGACAUUUUUAUGUAUCGGCACAGCCUGAAGAAGGACCUGUGGGCUCUUUUCUUGGGCCAUGUGAUGGUGGGGGAGGGGUCAUGCACCAGUACACCCAGACAGCCAAGUGGCAGUGGCCCUUGGGAGGUUCCCCACCUUAGCUGGUACAACUAUCACUACAAGUGAGAGCUUGGUGUGUGCCACUCCGUGUGCAUGUGUAACCUUUAGAAUGGGUUCCUGAAGUGGGCAGAAAGGUAUUCCGUCUGCAAGUAUCUGUGUCACUGACAGGAAUCCCUCCCUGCCGACUGUGAGUUCUCUGAACCCAAAGUGUACCUGCUGAUUACCUAGAGCUGUCAGUCUCGGGGAGAUAUUUUUUCCCUGAACAAGAAGAUCCUGAGCUUCAGUUCGCGGAAUCAGGAGAUACAUGAAUGGUGCUUUCUGGAAACUAUCCAUUCAUGAUUUCUGAUAUUUGUUUUGUUUUUGUUUUGUUUUUCGGGACAGGGUUUCUCCGUGUAGUUUUGGUGCCUGUCCUGAAUCUCACUCUGUAGACCAGGCUGGCCUCGAACGCACAGAGAUCUGCCUGCCUCUGCCUCCUGCGUGCUGGGAUUAAAGGCGUACGCCACCACCACCUGGUAAUUUCUGAUUUUUUUUUUCCCUAUCUUCCCCUCCUAGACAUCUAGGAGCUCCUCAGCACUCAGGAAAGUUAACCUUAGCAUAUAAGUUACGCGCACACGUCAUUUUGUCCUUUUAUGUUCUUUCUCCGCUCCCCUCUCGCCUCUUUCUCAAACUGUUGACAUCCCCCUAUUGUUCUUAUUACUCCUGUCUGCCCUCCCACACUCCAGGGCAAAGGGCUCCUUCUUCUGCAAGGCAGGGCCAUCGUCAUCCGUCCGUCCCACCCCCCACCCCCCCACCCCCACCCCGCUCCUUGCAGUGAGGUGGGAGAUGCUGUCAGAAAGGCUUCCCAGUGUGGCUUCUUAGGGCUCCUGCUGACACGCUGGGGCCUGUGGUCUGCAGAACCCCCAGCCAGAGGCUCCUUUGCUGGGAGUAAGACUGGCUGGCUUGCUGCCAGAGGCUGCCCUGGGCUUCACAAGUUUCUGUGCCUCCUCCUCCCCAUUUCUCCCUAGCUUCUUGGGAGCCUGGGAGCCUGGAAGCCUGGGUGGCCUUGGCCUCCAGCUGAACCUACCAUUUCCAUCCGGGUUGCCUGGCUCUCCAUACUAUUUCUCUUGCCAUUGUGCUUACACCCUUGGGCCCCUUCAGCCUGUCCGGCCAAUUCCACACACCUGAGUUCUUGGUAAUGCCUAGGAAGACCUAGGACCUCGGUGUCAGGAAAGCACUAUCAGAAACAUAGACAGACAUGUUAGGUCACAGACCCUCUAGCCGCUACCCCGCUGCAGCCCCUCCCUCUGCGGAGUUGAUAGGCAAGUGUGGUGCUGCUGUGUGAGUGUGACCUUGCAGUUCUCAGAACACUCCUCCUCCCUCUCCUUAGACCCAAGACAGCUUUGAGUUAUAGCUAGACUUUUAUCACUAGCCGCCCGGCGGCUUCCAGCGCACAGGCUGGGUCCCGUGGUGUGGAGCACCCCUUUUCCCUGGGAAGCUAUAAAAGGAGGAAACCCCCUUUUGUUUCCUGGAUCUGAAGGGAGCUGAGGGAACUGGAGGGUUUCUCACGCCCUUCAGGGCCUGCCAUGCUGCCUCGUGUUUGAUACUAACUCUCCGUGGGUGCUAGGAACUGAAGGGAGCUGAGGAUCUUUCCCUUCGGGACUGCCUUCGUGCCCCUGCUCUCUUUCCUAGAGGAGCUCUACCCUAGACCUGUGGGCUCAUUCUCCUCCUUCAGGUUGUGGUGUUUCCUACUGGAUUCCUCUGAAGUGUAAUUUCAUCUCCACUUCCUUUCUAGGAACUUUAUCUGAUGAUGCUCGUGUCAGAAUACACUGAAUAAAAACAAUUUCACAAGCUC
Long non-coding RNA from Peromyscus californicus insignis, 7075 nucleotides. RefSeq lists it as uncharacterized. The record is from RefSeq and is a predicted model, not a curated record. The transcript has 2 exons. NCBI's taxonomy places the organism in Eukaryota, Metazoa, Chordata, Mammalia, Rodentia, Cricetidae.